AACCCGACCCUCGCAUGAAGUCGGAAUUGCUAGUAAUCGCGGAUCAGAAUGCCGCGGUGGAAUAACGUUCCCGGGCCCUUGUACACACCGCCCGUCACACCAUGAGAGCCGGUAACACCCGAAGUCAGGAGCCUAACCGCAAGGAGGGCGCUGCCGAAGGUGGGAUUGGUAAUUGGGUGAAGUCGUAACAAGGUACC
RNAcentral lists this ribosomal RNA (197 nucleotides) under uncultured bacterium. Its description in RNAcentral is "partial 16S ribosomal RNA". It matches the Rfam family "Bacterial small subunit ribosomal RNA", at positions 1309 to 1500 of the family's 1533-position model. The record is from RNAcentral.